GAGUUUGAUCCUGGCUCAGGAUGAACGCUAGCGACAGGCUUAACACAUGCAAGUCGAGGGGCAGCGGGGAGGCAGCAAUGCCUCCGCCGGCGACCGGCGCACGGGUGAGUAACACGUAUGAAACCUGCCCGGAGCAGGGGGAUAAGCGGAAGAAAUUCCGUCUAAUACCGCGUAACGAGGCGGGGAGGCAUCUCCCCGCUUCCAAAGAUUUAUCGGCUCCGGAUGGUCAUGCGGCGCAUUAGCUAGUUGGCGGGGUAACGGCCCACCAAGGCGACGAUGCGUAGGGGUUCUGAGAGGAAGGCCCCCCACACUGGUACUGAGACACGGACCAUACUCCUACGGGAGGCAGCAGUGAGGAAUAUUGGUCAAUGGCCGGGAGGCUGAACCAGCCAAGUCGCGUGAGGGAUGACGGCUCUACGGGUUGUAAACCUCUUUUGCCGGGGAGCAAGUCCCGCCUCGUGCAGGCGGAUUGAGAGUACCCGGAGAAAAAGCAUCGGCUAACUCCGUGCCAGCAGCCGCGGUAAUACGGAGGAUGCGAGCGUUAUCCGGAUUCAUUGGGUUUAAAGGGUGCGCAGGCGGGCGGUCAAGUCAGCGGUAAAAUCGUGGGGCCCAACCC
RNAcentral lists this ribosomal RNA (616 nucleotides) under uncultured bacterium. RNAcentral's name for it is "bacterial SSU rRNA". It matches the Rfam family "Bacterial small subunit ribosomal RNA", at positions 9 to 615 of the family's 1533-position model. The record is from RNAcentral.